GAAAUGCGAUAAGUAAUGUGAAUUGCAGAAUUCAGUGAAUCAUCGAAUCUUUGAACGCACCUUGCGCUCCUUGGUAUUCCUUGGAGCAUGCCUGUUUGAGUAUCAUGAAAUCUUCAAAGUAAAUCUUUUGUUAACUCAAUUGGUUUCUACUUUGGUAUUGAGGUCUUUGCAGCUUCACACCUGCUCCUCUUUGUUCAUUAGCUGGAUCUCAGUGUUAUGCUUGGUUCCACUCGGCGUGAUAAGUUAUCUAUCGCUGAGGACACUGUAAAAGGUGGCCAAGGUAAAUGCAGAUGAACCGCUUCUAAUAGUCCAUUGACUUGGACAAUACUUUUAUGAUCUGAUCUCAAAUCAGGUAGGACUACCCGCUGAACUUAAGC
This 377-nucleotide unclassified non-coding RNA is filed under the name plant metagenome. Its description in RNAcentral is "partial contains 5.8S ribosomal RNA, internal transcribed spacer 2, and large subunit ribosomal RNA". The stretch from base 1 to 105 matches the Rfam family "5.8S ribosomal RNA", at positions 50 to 154 of the family's 154-position model. The record is from RNAcentral.